AUUGAACGCUGGCGGCAGGCCUAACACAUGCAAGUCGAGCGGAUGAGGGGAGCUUGCUCCUGGAUUCAGCGGCGGACGGGUGAGUAAUGCCUACGAAUCUGCCUGGUAGUGGGGGAUAACGUCCGGAAACGGGCGCUAAUACCGCAUACGUCCUGAGGGAGAAAGUGGGGGAUCUUCGGACCUCACGCUAUCAGAUGAGCCUAGGUCGGAUUAGCUAGUUGGUGGGGUAAAGGCCUACCAAGGCGACGAUCCGUAACUGGUCUGAGAGGAUGAUCAGUCACACUGGAACUGAGACACGGUCCAGACUCCUACGGGAGGCAGCAGUGGGGAAUAUUGGACAAUGGGCGAAAGCCUGAUCCAGCCAUGCCGCGUGUGUGAAGAAGGUCUUCGGAUUGUAAAGCACUUUAAGUUGGGAGGAAGGGCAGUAAGUUAAUACCUUGCUGUUUUGACGUUACCAACAGAAUAAGCACCGGCUAACUUCGUG
Molecule: ribosomal RNA, 484 nt
Filed under: uncultured bacterium
Lineage: Bacteria
Description: partial 16S ribosomal RNA
Rfam family: Bacterial small subunit ribosomal RNA
Source: RNAcentral